Molecule: long non-coding RNA, 527 nt
Organism: Limulus polyphemus (Atlantic horseshoe crab)
Lineage: Eukaryota; Metazoa; Arthropoda; Merostomata; Xiphosura; Limulidae
Exons: 3
Source: RefSeq, a predicted model, not a curated record
AUCACUCCAGAGUCUUGACUGCUAAGCCUAAUAUUUUCUUCAGAGUUUUCUGGAAUCAUGAAGUUGUUCUAUGCUGUCGUCCUGCUGGCCGUUUGUAGUAUCGCUCGAAGUGGACAUUCAUACCGCUACAACACCGGAACAUCUUCCGUAAAUGUGAACCAAGAAUACGGCCUACCCUACACCGGCCAUUACGGAUUUCACAACUACGCCAAACCUGUUUACUACACUGGCUACCGUACCCUUCCCUACAACCUUCGCUACAACAAUGGGCUGGGAUAUACAGGUGUGGGCUACAACUACGUCCCACGUUACUAUGGCGGUUUAGGCUACAACCAAGGGCUGAAUCAUUACGGUUACGCUCGAAAACCAGCAUACUAUUCAUCUUACAAUUACUUGUAUUAAAACAGGGGGCCAGAAGAAGCUGCCUAUCAACUGAAAGCAUCAGAUAACCCUCAUUCACAUUAAUAUGGUGUUAAAGUGGAUAUUCUUCUUUAUAGAAUAUGUAUUUCUUGAGAUGUUAAUAAAAA